UACGAAGGCCCCAAGCGUUAUCCGGAAUUACUGGGUGUAAAGAGUUCGUAGGUGGAGGAAUAAGUCAGUGGUGAAAGGUCUGGGCUCAACCCAGUAUUUGCCACCGAAACUAUUCCCCUUGAAUUAGGGAGAGGUAAGCAGAACUGUAUGAGUAGGGGUGCAAUCCGUUGAUACAUACAAGAAUACCAAAAGCGAAGGCAGCUUACUGGAACUAUAUUGACACUGAGGAACGAAAGCGUAGGGAGCGAAAAGG
RNAcentral lists this ribosomal RNA (253 nucleotides) under uncultured bacterium. Its description in RNAcentral is "partial 16S ribosomal RNA". It matches the Rfam family "Bacterial small subunit ribosomal RNA", at positions 524 to 776 of the family's 1533-position model. The record is from RNAcentral.